UGGUCCUAGCCUUGUAAUCAAUUGUUACUUAACUUAUACAUGCAAGUUUCCGCACCCCUGUGAGAACGCCCUUAAACUUCUUUUUGAAGUGAGGAGCCGGUAUCAGGCGCAAGAAUUUGCCCAAGACACCUAGCUACGCCACAUCCACAAGGAAUUUCAGCAGUAAUUAACAUUGAGUAUAAGUGUCAACUUGACUCAGUUAAAGUAAAGAGAGUCGGCUAAUAUGGUGCCAGCCGCCGCGGUUACACCACGAGACUCAAAUUGAUUGCCUUCGGCGUAAAGCGUGGUUAAAGUCUUUUUAAAAUUAUAGUUGUAUUCUAACUAAGCUGUGACACGCUUGUUUACGAGAAGCUCAGAAACGAAAGUUACUAUAAAUCUUCAACUUGAACCCACGACAGCUAGGACACAAACUGGGAUUAGAUACCCCACUAUGCUUAGCCGUAAACUUUAAAUUACACCCGAAUCGCCAGGGAACUACAAGCAAAGCUUAAAACCCAAAGGACUUGACGGUACCCCACAUCCACCUAGAGGAGCCUGUCCUAUAAUCGAUAACCCCCGUUCAACCUCACCAUUUCUAGCCUCUCAGCCUGUAUACCUCCGUCGUCAGCUUACCACGUGAGCGCCAUUUAGUGAGCUCAAUGUCUUUACAUCAAUACGUCAGGUCAAGGUGCAGCAAAUAAAAUGGGAAGAGAUGGGCUACACUCUCUAAUUUAGAUGACACGAAUGACUAUCUAUGAAACCUAGUCGGAAGGCGGAUUUAGUAGUAAAAAGAGACAAGAGAGCUCUUUUUAACUCGGCACUGGGGUGUGUACACACCGCCCGUCACCCUCUUCGAAGCCUAUAUACAGUAAUUAACCCUACUCCGCACCUUAGAAGAGGCAAGUCGUAACAUGGUAAGCGUACCGGAAGGUGUGCUUGGAAA
This 922-nucleotide non-coding RNA is filed under the name Smilisca puma (Nicaragua cross-banded treefrog). RNAcentral's name for it is "partial 12S ribosomal RNA". It matches the Rfam family "Bacterial small subunit ribosomal RNA". Lineage: Eukaryota; Metazoa; Chordata; Amphibia; Anura; Hylidae. The record is from RNAcentral.